This 253-nucleotide ribosomal RNA is filed under the name uncultured bacterium. RNAcentral's name for it is "partial 16S ribosomal RNA". It matches the Rfam family "Bacterial small subunit ribosomal RNA", at positions 524 to 776 of the family's 1533-position model. The record is from RNAcentral.
UACGUAGGGGGCAAGCGUUAUCCGGAUUUACUGGGUGUAAAGGGAGCGUAGACGGCGAUGCAAGUCUGAAGUGAAAGGCGGGGGCCCAACCCCCGGACUGCUUUGGAAACUGUAUGGCUGGAGUGCAGGAGAGGUAAGUGGAAUUCCUAGUGUAGCGGUGAAAUGCGUAGAUAUUAGGAGGAACACCAGUGGCGAAGGCGGCCUGCUGGACUGCGACUGACGUUGAGGCCCGAAAGCGUGGGGAGCAAACAGG